GAUGAACGCUGGCGGCGUGCCUCAUGCAUGCAAGUCGAACGGGAACACUUUUGGUAGCAAUACUAGGGGUGUUCUAGUGGCGAUCGGGUGAGUAACACGUAGGUGACCUGCCCCGAAGAGAGGGAUAACGGCCCGAAAGGGCUGCUAAUACCUCAUGUGAUCGGCGAUUCGGUUGUCGAUUAAAGUUUCCGCAAGGAGUAUGC
Molecule: ribosomal RNA, 203 nt
Filed under: uncultured bacterium
Lineage: Bacteria
Description: partial 16S ribosomal RNA
Rfam family: Bacterial small subunit ribosomal RNA
Source: RNAcentral